UACGUAGGGUGCUAGCGUUGCUCGGAAUCACUGGGCGUAAAGGGUGCGUAGGCGGGUCUUUAAGUCAGGGGUGAAAUCCUGGAGCUCAACUCCAGAACUGCCUUUGAUACUGAGGAUCUUGAGUACGGGAGAGGUGAGUGGAACUGCGAGUGUAGAGGUGAAAUUCGUAGAUAUUCGCAAGAACACCAGUGGCGAAGGCGGCUCACUGGCCCGUAACUGACGCUGAGGCACGAAAGCGUGGGGAGCAAACAGG
RNAcentral lists this ribosomal RNA (253 nucleotides) under uncultured bacterium. RNAcentral describes it as "partial 16S ribosomal RNA". It matches the Rfam family "Bacterial small subunit ribosomal RNA", at positions 524 to 776 of the family's 1533-position model. The record is from RNAcentral.